AUACGGAGGGUGCGAGCGUUAAUCGGAAUUACUGGGCGUAAAGGGCACGUAGGCGGCGAAGUCAGUCUGAUGUGAAAGCCCUGGGCUUAACCUAGGAAUGGCAUUGGAAACUGCUUAAGCUAGAGUGUGACAGAGGGUGGUGGAAUUCCCGGUGUAGCGGUGAAAUGCAUAGAGAUCGGGAGGAACAUCGAUGGCGAAGGCAGCCACCUGGGUCAACACUGACGCUGAGGUGCGAAAGCGUGGGGAGCAAACAGGAUUAGAUACCCCGGUAGUCC
This 275-nucleotide ribosomal RNA is filed under the name uncultured bacterium. RNAcentral's name for it is "partial 16S ribosomal RNA". It matches the Rfam family "Bacterial small subunit ribosomal RNA", at positions 523 to 796 of the family's 1533-position model. The record is from RNAcentral.